Long non-coding RNA from Cyprinus carpio (common carp), 579 nucleotides. The record is from Ensembl. NCBI's taxonomy places the organism in Eukaryota, Metazoa, Chordata, Actinopteri, Cypriniformes, Cyprinidae.
CUCUUUUUGCUUACCUGCAAGCAUUUUAGUAUAGUGUUGUGACAUUUUCUUCAUAAAGAAGUAGUAGUCAGUACUCAGUAAUCUGACAUUCCUAAAUGCUUUCACUAAAGCAGGCAAUACAGGCAUCCUUGAAAAAAUUUACAUUACAAUAGUCUUAACUAUGGCUAUUUAAGGCUCUUGUAGCAGUAAGAAGAAAUACAUUUCUGAAAAAGUUACAAUACAGCUGAAAAAGUUUGUAACAAUUCUUCAAUGCUUCAUUGAUUAUAUAUUGCACUUCUAAAGUGAUUUUUUAAUUUAUUUUGUCUUUAAAGGUGCAGUGUGACAUAUGCUCAAGAUGGACGCACAAGGAGUGUAACCCUGCAAACCCUUGCCUCAGAGCAUUUCAAGUGUAAAAAGUGAUUACCUUAAAGCAAGAGACAAACUGAGGGCCUCACUGACCUGUAAUACCUCUGAGUUACAAACAGAUGAUGAGGAAGAAGUCAAUAGGAAGAGAAAAAUUAAGCCAAGGUUUCAUAUUCUGAGACUGACACAUGCAUCAUUUGAAAAUACAUUUAGAAAUAUAUUUGUUAACUAUAGUGU